UCUACCCACAAACGAAAGCCCAAAUGCCAGUCUUUGGUGGCAAUCUGUACAUGCAGAUGUGCGGCCUCAGAAUACCUCCAAAAAAUCCACUAAAUGGGGGACUCCUACAUCCUGGAAGAUGGUGGUACCACAAACUGGGAAGAAGAGCCUCUGUCCCUGGCACCAAGUAGAGGAAAGCUGCUUGCCAUGAGGAACACUCCCAGUGGACUAUAACGUGGGCAAGAAACUUCUACAGUAUUAAGCCUCUUAGCAGUUUGGGCUUUACAUUUUAAAGCAGUUAGUGACUAUUAGAGAGCAAAUCAAUGUAUUCAUCUGGUACACUUCAUCAGACAUUAUACCUAAUAUUCAUUGCUUCUAAUACACUACUCUUGCUCAAGUCUAAAAAAUGACUCCCAACUGUCUACUGAAGGACAAAGUCCUUAGCUAACAAUCAGGAUACUUCAUGGUAUAGCCCCGAAUACCAUAAAGUUAGCCAUCGUUGUGCCUUUUCCGUGAGAUUUGUGACAUCUGUCAUACAUAGUGUAUGACAUAUGUAACUUUAAAGAGUAAUAAUAAAGAAAAUGCCUGGGAGCCAUUA
Long non-coding RNA from Neofelis nebulosa (Clouded leopard), 577 nucleotides. RefSeq lists it as uncharacterized. The record is from RefSeq and is a predicted model, not a curated record. The transcript is spliced from 2 exons. NCBI's taxonomy places the organism in Eukaryota, Metazoa, Chordata, Mammalia, Carnivora, Felidae.